CAGUUACUACCUCCGUUACAUAAUUCUUGUCUCAAAUUUGUCCACAAGUGAAUGUAUCUAUUCCUAAAAGGCGUUUAGAUACAUGUAAUAAUUCGACAAGAAUUAUGUAACGGAGGGAGUACCAA
Non-coding RNA from Brachypodium distachyon (stiff brome), 125 nucleotides. Lineage: Eukaryota; Viridiplantae; Streptophyta; Magnoliopsida; Poales; Poaceae. The record is from Rfam.